CCUACGGGAGGCAGCAGUGAGGAAUAUUGGUCAAUGGGCGAGAUCCUGAACCAGCCAAGCCGCGUGAAGGAUGACGGCCCUAUGGGUUUUAAACUUCUUUUAUAGGGGAAUAAAGCGCCCCACGUGUGGCGGAUUGCGUGUAUCCUAAGAAUAAGCAUCGGCUAAUUCCGUGCCAGCAGCCGCGGUAAUACGGAGGAUGCGAGCGUUAUCCGGAUUUAUUGGGUUUAAAGGGUGCGUAGGCGGUUCCUUAAGUCAGCGGUAAAAUUGAGGGGCUCAACCGCACCGAGCCGUUGAAACUGGGGGACUUGAGUAUGCGCGGGGUACACGGAAUGCGUGGUGUAGCGGUGAAAUGCAUAGAUAUCGCGAAGAACUCCGAUCGCGAAGGCAGUGUACCGGAGCAAGACUGACGCUGAGGCACGAAAGCGUGGGGAUCGAACAGGAUUAGAUACCCGAGUAGUC
RNAcentral lists this ribosomal RNA (459 nucleotides) under uncultured bacterium. Its description in RNAcentral is "partial 16S ribosomal RNA". It matches the Rfam family "Bacterial small subunit ribosomal RNA", at positions 338 to 795 of the family's 1533-position model. The record is from RNAcentral.